RNAcentral lists this ribosomal RNA (445 nucleotides) under uncultured bacterium. Its description in RNAcentral is "partial 16S ribosomal RNA". It matches the Rfam family "Bacterial small subunit ribosomal RNA", at positions 354 to 796 of the family's 1533-position model. The record is from RNAcentral.
UUGAGGAAUAUUGGUCAAUGGGCGGGAGCCUGAACCAGCCAAGUCGCGUGAAGGAAGAAGGAUCUAUGGUUCGUAAACUUCUUUUGCAGGGGAAUAAAGUGCAGGACGUGUCCUGUUUUGUAUGUACCCUGAGAAUAAGGAUCGGCUAACUCCGUGCCAGCAGCCGCGGUAAUACGGAGGAUCCGAGCGUUAUCCGGAUUUAUUGGGUUUAAAGGGUGCGUAGGUGGUUUGAUAAGUCAGCGGUGAAAGUUUGCAGCUUAACUGUAAAAAUGCCGUUGAAACUGUCGGACUUGAGUGUAAAUGAGGUAGGCGGAAUGCGUGGUGUAGCGGUGAAAUGCAUAGAUAUCACGCAGAACUCCGAUUGCGAAGGCAGCUUACUAAGCUACAACUGACACUGAAGCACGAAAGCGUGGGGAUCGAACAGGAUUAGAUACCCCGGUAGUCC